RNAcentral lists this ribosomal RNA (301 nucleotides) under uncultured bacterium. RNAcentral's name for it is "partial 16S ribosomal RNA". It matches the Rfam family "Bacterial small subunit ribosomal RNA", at positions 509 to 807 of the family's 1533-position model. The record is from RNAcentral.
CAGUCGCCACGGGAAUACGGAGGGGGCUGGCGUUGUUCGGAAUUACUGGGCGUGAAGCGCACGUAGGCGGCUUGGUAAGUUAGAGGUGAAAGCCCGGAGCUCAACUCCGGAAUUGCCUUUAAGACUGCCGAGCUAGUAGGUGAGAGAGGUAAGUGGAAUUCCGAGUGUAGAGGUGAAAUUCGUAGAUAUUCGGAAGAACACCAGUGGCGAAGGCGGCUUACUGGCUCAUUCUAGACGCUGAGGUGCGAAAGCGUGGGGAGCAAACAGGAUUAGAUACCCCCGUAGUCCCUGUCUCUUAUAC